AGUGAACGCUGGCGGUAGGCCUAACACAUGCAAGUCGAACGGCAGCACAGUAAGAGCUUGCUCUUACGGGUGGCGAGUGGCGGACGGGUGAGGAAUACAUCGGAAUCUACUUUUUCAUGGGGGAUAACGUAGGGAAACUUACGCUAAUACCGCAUACGACCUACGGGUGAAAGCAGGGGAUCUUCGGACCUUGCGCGAUUGAAUGGGCCGAUGUCGGAUUAGCUAGUUGGCGGGGUAAAGGCCCACCAAGGCGACGAUCCGUAGCUGGUCUGAGAGGAUGAUCAGCCACACUGGAACUGAGACACGGUCCAGACUCCUACGGGAGGCAGCAGUGGGGAAUAUUGGACAAUGGGCGCAAGCCUGAUCCAGCCAUACCGCGUGGGUGAAGAAGGCCUUCGGGUUGUAAAGCCCUUUUGUUGGGAAAGAAAAGCAGCAGGUUAAUACCCCGCUGUUCUGACGGUACCCAAAGAAUAAGCACCGGCUAACUUCGUG
Molecule: ribosomal RNA, 492 nt
Filed under: uncultured bacterium
Lineage: Bacteria
Description: partial 16S ribosomal RNA
Rfam family: Bacterial small subunit ribosomal RNA
Source: RNAcentral